AGUAUCAAGGGUAGCGUGGAUACCAGACGUUUUGUGUUCAGUUGUGAGAAAAGACUAUUUAAGCAAUGACCCCACACGAUCUUACCUGCUCCUCAGACCACAGCCAAGGAAGAGAUUUCUGACAAACAAGCAAAAACACAACACUGUCCACACAACUGUAAAUAUGCAAGGAAGAGUUUCUUCUUGCCUGAAAACUGCUGUACAAGCAUGGCACCAGCAUCUGAGGCAAAAGGGGAGCUGGCAUGUGCAGAGAUUACAUGGCAAGAGAGGAUGCAAGAGAGAGAGAACGAGGUGCCAGAUUCUUUAACCGUCAGAUCUCAUGGGAAAUAAGGAUACAAAUUCUGGAGCAGCAACUGAUUUACCAGGAAACACUGAGGAGUAGAGCAAGGUAAAGAAUUUUAACUGUUUGGGGUUCGUUACUUCACACUUAAGAAAUCUACAAACCACAGGAAAUGAAACUUGACUAAAUGCAGAUGACACAGACAGCCAACUCCGAAAAUGUGCUGGGCUCCACUCAGUUCUAGGUGACCUUUAGCAAAAAGAGGGUGUUCUGAUGAAACCCUUUGACCAUAACCAACAGCCUCCAACUUACAGGAUUCUCCCCUCGUAUGACCAAGUGGUGUAAUCUUUGAGGUCCUGGCAGCACAGGUUGAGUGCAACCUAAAAGAGAAUGAGGAUUCCACAAGGUCUUCUGGAAUGGUACACUUAUUGGAAACUUGUUUCAGCAUUCAAAAAAACCUGGCCUGUUUCUAAAGCAAUGCAUGGUUUAAGAGGAAUGGCAAAUUGAAGCCAACGUUUUUCAAACACAUUUCACUUAAAAAAAAAUGGCCACUAGAAAGAAUGCAACUUAUUUUCAAAAAGAAUUAUCUCAAGAAAGCAUGGUUGGCCCAUUCAUCCAUCUCCCUGCCCACAAGGGAAUGAAUGAAUGAAGACAAGAUGUGCCACCUCUGAAAGACUGUUAAUCUCCCUCUCUCUAUAAAAGUGGUACUAUGUAAUUUCUACUCAUUUGGUUACAAAUAAAAUUAGUAAGUGAA
Long non-coding RNA from Homo sapiens (human), 1034 nucleotides. The record is from Ensembl. Lineage: Eukaryota; Metazoa; Chordata; Mammalia; Primates; Hominidae.